GACGAACGCUGGCGGCGUGCUUAACACAUGCAAGUCGAACGGAAAGGCCCUGCUUUUGUGGGGUGCUCGAGUGGCGAACGGGUGAGUAACCCGUGAGUAACCUGCCCUUGACUUUGGGAUAACUUCAGGAAACUGGGGCUAAUACCGGAUAGGAGCUCCUGCUGCCUGGUGGGGGUUGGAAAGUUUCGGCGGUUGGGGAUGGACUCGCGGCUUAUCAGCUUGUUGGUGGGGUAGUGGCUUACCAAGGCGUUGACGGGUAGCCGGCCUGAGAGGGUGACCGGCCACAUUGGGACUGAGAUGCGGCCCAGACUCCUACGGGAGGAAGCAGUGGGGAAUAUUGCACAAUGGGCGGAAGCCUGAUGCAGCAGCGCCGCGUGGGGGAUGACGGCCGUCGGGUUGUAGACCGCUUUCGCCUGUGACGAAGCGUGAGUGACGGUAAUGGGUAAAGAAGCACCGGCUAACUCCGUG
RNAcentral lists this ribosomal RNA (468 nucleotides) under uncultured bacterium. RNAcentral describes it as "partial 16S ribosomal RNA". It matches the Rfam family "Bacterial small subunit ribosomal RNA", at positions 28 to 507 of the family's 1533-position model. The record is from RNAcentral.